Molecule: ribosomal RNA, 482 nt
Filed under: Streptococcus sp. oral taxon 066
Lineage: Bacteria; Bacillati; Bacillota; Bacilli; Lactobacillales; Streptococcaceae
Description: bacterial SSU rRNA
Rfam family: Bacterial small subunit ribosomal RNA
Source: RNAcentral
GAUGAACGCUGGCGGCGUGCCUAAUACAUGCAAGUAGAACGCUGAAGCUUGGUGCUUGCACCGAGCGGAUGAGUUGCGAACGGGUGAGUAACGCGUAGGUAACCUGCCUGGUAGCGGGGGAUAACUAUUGGAAACGAUAGCGAAUACCGCAUAACAGUAGAUAUUGCAUGAUAUCUGCUUGAAAGGGGCAAUUGCUCCACUACCAGAUGGACCUGCGUUGUAUUAGCUAGUUGGUGAGGUAACGGCUCACCAAGGCGACGAUACAUAGCCGACCUGAGAGGGUGAUCGGCCACACUGGGACUGAGACACGGCCCAGACUCCUACGGGAGGCAGCAGUAGGGAAUCUUCGGCAAUGGACGGAAGUCUGACCGAGCAACGCCGCGUGAGUGAAGAAGGUUUUCGGAUCGUAAAGCUCUGUUGUAAGAGAAGAACGAGUGUGAGAGUGGAAAGUUCACACUGUGACGGAACUACCAGAAAGGACG